GGGGCGUUUGGCAUCACAUGAACAAUGUGGUCCAUGAUCUAAAAGGAAAAAAUAUAAAAUAAAAAAAUAAUCUGCUUAUCCCUAAUCAUUAUAGCAACCAUAGUUAUAAAAGUAUUUCCAUGAGCCUAAAAGACAAGUUUGAUAUUAAAAUGUCUAAAAAAUAUAAGAGGAGCGAGGUACGCUUGGGUAAAUUUAUGUGGGGCAUGCAUAGCAACAGUACUAAAAAAUAAAAAAUGCCAGUCAAGCAUACACCUCAAAAUAUCAAACCAUUAUGAAUUAUUUAAAGAGUCUCUAUUGUGAAUGAAAAUUUGUAGUUUUUAUAGUCUUAAAUCAUUGGCCUUCCACGAGGAAAAGAAUCAUUGCUUUUCGGCUCCAAGUGUGCAUAAACAAUUUAAGAA
Molecule: long non-coding RNA, 398 nt
Filed under: Lupinus angustifolius (narrow-leaved blue lupine)
Lineage: Eukaryota; Viridiplantae; Streptophyta; Magnoliopsida; Fabales; Fabaceae
Description: long non-coding RNA (LANG_LNC003698)
Source: RNAcentral